Molecule: long non-coding RNA, 2321 nt
Organism: Clupea harengus (Atlantic herring)
Lineage: Eukaryota; Metazoa; Chordata; Actinopteri; Clupeiformes; Clupeidae
Source: RefSeq, a predicted model, not a curated record
GGCCAACUCCAUUGCUGUCUCGUAUACACAGGCUGUACAGAGUAAACCAAGAGGCAACACUGUUCCAUAAAGCCACUGAAUGAAACUGACUCACAAUCUACUAGGCAAAAUAUACUUUUAUCCUGAAAGUAAGGCUGCUUCUUCACAGUCAUGAGAUGCCAACAUAACACCGGCCAGAGUCACCCUGCUGCAGAUGCUGAGCCACUGCUUCCCAUCAUCGCCACGGCCUCCCUCAAACCACCACUGCUUCCACCGAACCACCACCACGGCCUCCAACGAAUCACCACCACGGCCUCCAACGAAUCACCACCACGGCCUCCAACGAAUCACCACCACGGCCUCCAACGAACCACCACCACGGCCUCCACCGAACCACCACCACUGGUCCAGCCACGCAGCCUGUUGCACCUGCACCUAGCCUGUUUCAGCUGAAGCUAGAACACCAGCCAAGCUGCCCAAGUACGACGGGACAACACAACUAGAACCAUACCUCUCACAAGUCCAACUAGCAGCAUGGAAACAGCGGCUCGAGUGACAAAGAAGCUUCCACCCACCUGGCCUUGAUGCUGGAGGGAAAGCCAUUGCAGGUGGUAGAAGAGGUUUGCCAAAAACGGCCUCCACCAUUCGACCGCUGCUACUAGUGUGGCGAGCCAGGUCACAUAGCGCGCGACUCCCCAGCACUAGCGGCGCGACUGCCCAGCACUAGCGGUGAAAGCCGUUGCCUCCGUUCAAGGCCGAUGUACGCUGGUUGGCCACCGGGGGAUUGUAUCUGAACGGCCAGCUUAUACAUGGGGACUACCAAUUCCCUGGUGCGACCUGGCAUCUUUCCAGGUACCACCGGCCCACUCUGAGUAGCGUGGUCAUCAAUCCAUACCCAGCUGAAGAUACUGACAGCAGGAAAGGCCGACAUGAGAGGGAGGAAGUGCUGCAAACUCUGGAGGCUGGAGACCAGGAGCUGGUGUACGAGUUCUGGCUCGCCGCUGUGACGCUGUGAAUCAUCAGCCUGGACCUGCUGACCUGCUGACCUGUGUUGAUGUGUCGGAGGCAACCAUCACCCGCAGCACCCGUGGAGACCGUGGCGCUCCAGUCCGAUCAGGGGAAGAAGAACGGACCCAGGGAUCAACGAGCCCCAGUCCCCAAGUAGCUGCCUCCCCGCCCGCGCCAAGCCCUUGUGCCCCACCGCCCCAGUAGCCCAGCCCACCAUCCAAGAGUUCACAUCACACCGCCACUGUCAGCCAGAGGGGCCAUCACACCGCCACUGUCACUGUCAGCCAGAGGGGCCAUCACACCGCCACUGUCAGCCACAGGGGCCAUCACAUCGCCACUGUCAGCCAGAGGCCCUGCUGCAUCAACACUGCGAGAUAUCGGUCGAUCCAUGCUAGCUCACAACAACAUGUACACCGUACCAGAUGAUUUGCUUAGACUUCCACUCACAUCUAUAGAGGCUGUGGCUGGACGUGUGCUUAACAUGCACAAGGCAGCGCUUUCUUGGCGCACAACUUUGAGUCUUAUCAUGUAAUGUUUUGUCCCAGUGCCGUACCAUCCCUCUUUGCCUACUCAUCCCUGCAUGUCUCAGCUCUCUCGUGGGAACAAAGGCAUUAAAACCUAUUUUGGGGCUAAAUCUUCCACUCAUAAUUCUGUUCAACUUAAAACUCUGUAGUUUCUUUGGUUUUAGUCAUCCUUGAAAAACUUGAGUUACACAAGUGGUUGAAUGGUCAGCUUUUUCUAAUGUUUCUUACCCAGCCAUCCUUUUUUCUGAGCCAUAACCCAACAUCUGGCUUCACAAAUGGAAGGAAACAUCUUUAUAGGCACACAUUUAUGUCAUUUAUUUUUUUCUAAUACUCACACUCAGUUGUGUAAUCAGUGUUAGAAUUUGCUUUAGCUCAACAUCUCUCAAGCUUAUGCCAAGUCAAUCUCACUCAAUCACACACACAAUCUCUCUCUUUCUCUCAUUCACACACUCAUUCACACACACAAACACACACUCAUUCACACACACACACACACACACACACAAACAGAGAGACAGCGAAACACCCCAUCCAAGACCACCACCAGCUGUAUAUGACAGAGUUCUAUAAUGAAUGGAAUUACCUAAGAGCAUACCUAGGAUUAAGUACUACUCUAGUUUUGUAUUUAAUAUGAUCAUGAAACUACCCUUUACGUCACAACUACGCAAUAGAAGUCCUGAAGACAAACAAAGAUAAUGAAAUGAUCUAAACAGACUGCCAUGUCUUUAUGCGCAAACGUCAAGAAGGCUUAAUAUCCAAUGAUCAUUGACCUUCACUGAAUACAUACAGUAAACUGCUUUACACUAUAUA